AUGGGAACCAUUGUCCUAAAGUCAGCUGGAUCAUCAAAGUUCUCUGUGCAGCAAAGCCUGAUAGGCGUGUUGGAUGUUGCUGCAUGUCUCAGCCAACAGAGUGAUGAUACUGCUGUUGGAUCUCCAGCAACAUGCUACCAUAGCUCUUCGGGAAGCAAAAAGCUGAGAAUUGGCAGAUGA
RNAcentral lists this ribosomal RNA (180 nucleotides) under Triticum aestivum (bread wheat). RNAcentral describes it as "partial small subunit ribosomal RNA". Lineage: Eukaryota; Viridiplantae; Streptophyta; Magnoliopsida; Poales; Poaceae. The record is from RNAcentral.